AGUGAACGCUGGCGGCGUGCCUAAUACAUGCAAGUCGAACGGAGAUUAAGUAGCUUGCUAUUUAAUCUUAGUGGCGCACGGGUGAGUAAUAUAUAGCUAACUUGCCCAUUACUAAGGGACAACAGUUGGAAACGACUGCUAAUACCUUAUACUCCGUAUCUAUAUAAGUAGAUACGGGAAAGUUUUUCGGUAAUGGAUAGGGCUAUAUCGUAUCAGCUAGUUGGUAAGGUAAUGGCUUACCAAGGCUAUGACGCGUAACUGGUCUGAGAGGAUGAUCAGUCACACUGGAACUGAGACACGGUCCAGACUCCUACGGGAGGCAGCAGUAGGGAAUAUUGCUCAAUGGGGGAAACCCUGAAGCAGCAACGCCGCGUGGAGGAUGACACUUUUCGGAGCGUAAACUCCUUUUCUUGGGAAAGAAUUAUGACGGUACCCAAGGAAUAAGCACCGGCUAACUCCGUGCCAGCAGCCGCGGUAAUACGGAGGGUGCAAGCGUUACUCGGAAUCACUGGGCGUAAAGGACGCGUAGGCGGAUUAUCAAGUCUCUUGUGAAAUCUAACGGCUUAACCGUUAAACUGCUUGGGAAACUGAUAAUCUAGAGUAAGGGAGAGGCAGAUGGAAUUCUUGGUGUAGGGGUAAAUCCGUAGAGAUCAAGAAGAAUACCCAUUGCGAAAGCGAUCUGC
RNAcentral lists this ribosomal RNA (683 nucleotides) under uncultured Campylobacterota bacterium. RNAcentral's name for it is "bacterial SSU rRNA". It matches the Rfam family "Bacterial small subunit ribosomal RNA", at positions 28 to 729 of the family's 1533-position model. The record is from RNAcentral. Lineage: Bacteria; Pseudomonadati; Campylobacterota.